AGGUCAAGCGAACAAGGGCGCAGGGCGAAUGCCUUGGCACUGGGAGCCGAUGAAAGACGUGAUAAGCUGCGAUAAGCUUCGGGGAGCUGCAAAUAAGCAUUGAUCCGGAGAUUUCUGAAUGAGGAAACUCACCUGGGUUCAUACUCAGGUACGUUAUACUGAACUUAAAAAUAGGUAUAUCGAGGGAACCGCCUGAACUGAAACAUCUAAGUAGGGCGAGGAAGAGACAUCAAACGAGAUUCCGUAAGUAGUGGCGAGCGAACGCGGAAGAGGGCAAACCGGGAGUAGAAAUACUUCCGGGGUACGGACUGCUUUUAGGACUUAAUCUGUUAACCGAACGGCAUGGGAAGGCCGGUCAGAGAGUGUGAGAACCACGUAGGUGAAAACGGAGAGAGCUGCGCAGGAUCCAGAGUACGGCCAGACACGUGAAACCUGGUCGGAAUACGGGGGGACCACCCUCCAACCCUAAAUACUACCCAGUGACCGAUAGCGUAUAGUACUGUGAAGGAAAGGUGAAAAGCACCCCGGGAGGGGAGUGAAAAAGAACCUGAAACCCUGUGCCUACAAGCACCUAGAGCACGUCAAUGUGUGAUAGGGUACUUUUUGUAGAACGGUCCGGCGAGCGAUUGUAUGCAGCAAGGUUAAGGACUUAAGGUCUGGAGCCGAAGCGAAAGCGAGUUUGAAAAGGGCGUUAAGUUGCAUACAAUGGGCCCGAAACCGGGUGACCUACCCAUGGUCAGGUUGAAGUGGAAGUAAAAUUCCAUGGAGGACCGAACCGACCUCCGUUGAAAAGGCGGCGGAUGAACUGUGGGUAGCGGAGAAAUUCCAAUCGAACCCGGAGAUAGCUGGUUCUCCCCGAAAUAGUUUUAGGACUAGCCUCAAGUUAGAUACCUGGAGGUAAAGCACUGAAUAGCCUAGCGGCCGAGAGGUUAGCGAAGCUUAUCAAACUCAGAAUGCCAGAGUAUUGAUGCUUGGGAGUCAGACAGUGUCAGAUAAAUGUCAUUGUCAAAAGGGAAACAGCCCAGAUCUACAGCUAAGGUCCCAAAGUCAGGUUAAGUGGAAAACGAUGUGAAGAUACGUAGACAACCAGGAUGUUGGCUCAGAAGCAGCCACACAUUCAAAGAGUGCGUAAUAGCUCACUGGUCGAGCGUCUUUGCGCGGAGAAUUUAACGGGGCUAAACCUGACACCGAAGCUUAGGCAAUACAGCAAUGUAUUGGGUAGGGGAGCGUUGUAUACGCGGUGAAACAGUAGCGCAAGCGGCUGUGGAGUGUAUAGAAGUGAGAAUGCCGGAAUGAGUAGCGCGAAUGCAGUGAGAAUCUGCAUGGCCGAAAGCCUCAGGUUUCUGGAGGAAGGUUCGUCCGCUCCAGGUUAGUCGGGAGCUAAGGUGAGGCCUAACGGCGUAGCCGAUGCACAGACGGUAGAGAUUCCGUCACCACCAAAAGAGUUAAACACAGGGACACAUUUGAAGUCUCGGAGCCGGGUGUUGGUUCCGGUAGCGAUCGAGGGAAGUUAGUACCGAAGUCCGGGAUGGAAGAUGGCGAGAAAAGCUGUGUGUAUUUCUGCGGUGCCCGUACCGCAAACCGACACAGGUAGGUAGGAAGAAGAUUCUAAGGCCAACGGGAGAAGGGUUGUUAAGGAACUCGGCAAAUUGACCCCGUAACUUCGGGAGAAGGGGUGCUCCAGAGAUGGAGCCGCAGAGAAUCGGCCCAAGCAACUGUUUACCAAAAACACAGGUUUGUGCUAAAUCGAAAGAUGACGUAUACGAGCUGACGCCUGCCCGGUGCUGGAAGGUUAAGAGGAGAUGUGCAAGCAUUGAAUCGAAGCCCCAGUGAACGGCGGCCGUAACUAUAACGGUCCUAAGGUAGCGAAAUUCCUUGUCAGGUAAGUUCUGACCCGCA
This 1899-nucleotide ribosomal RNA is filed under the name Faecalibacterium prausnitzii. Its description in RNAcentral is "partial 23S ribosomal RNA". It matches the Rfam family "Bacterial large subunit ribosomal RNA", at positions 1 to 1992 of the family's 2925-position model. Lineage: Bacteria; Bacillati; Bacillota; Clostridia; Eubacteriales; Oscillospiraceae. The record is from RNAcentral.